RNAcentral lists this ribosomal RNA (544 nucleotides) under Chaenotheca trichialis. RNAcentral describes it as "eukaryotic LSU rRNA". The stretch from base 177 to 330 matches the Rfam family "5.8S ribosomal RNA". The record is from RNAcentral. Lineage: Eukaryota; Fungi; Ascomycota; Coniocybomycetes; Coniocybales; Coniocybaceae.
CAUUACCGAGUGAGGGCCCUCGCGGCCCGACCUCCAACCCACUGUGUACCUAACCACUGUUGCCUUGGUGGGCCGUGGGGCUCUGCCCCCCGCCGGCUCCGGCCGGUGCGCGCCCGCCGAGGUCCCCCUCCACUCUGAUCGUGAUGCAGUCUGAGCAAAGAUAGAAUAAGUAAUAAAACUUUCAACAACGGAUCUCUUGGUUCUGGCAUCGAUGAAGAACGCAGCGAAAUGCGAUAAGUAAUGUGAAUUGCAGAAUUCAGUGAAUCAUCGAAUCUUUGAACGCACAUUGCGCCCCCUGGAACUCCGGGGGGCACACCUGUUCGAGCGUCAUCGUCAUCCUCAAGCAUAGCUUGCUGUUGAGCCUUCGCCCCCUCCCCGGGGCGAGCUCGAAACGCAGUGGCGACGUGGCCUGACCCCAAGCGCAGUGACAUAUCCUCUCGCUUCUGGGAACGGGCACACGGCGGCCGACCAACCUUCUUAUCAGGUUUGACCUCGGAUCAGGUGGGGAUACCCGCUGAACUUAAGCAUAUCAAUAAGCGGAGGA